Molecule: ribosomal RNA, 465 nt
Filed under: uncultured bacterium
Lineage: Bacteria
Description: partial 16S ribosomal RNA
Rfam family: Bacterial small subunit ribosomal RNA
Source: RNAcentral
GACGAACGCUGGCGGCGUGCUUAACACAUGCAAGUCGUACGGUAAGGCCCUUUCGGGGGUACACGAGUGGCGAACGGGUGAGUAACACGUGAGUAACCUGCCCACAACUUUGGGAUAACGCUAGGAAACUGGUGCUAAUACUGGAUAUGUGCUCCUGCUGCAUGGUGGGGGUUGGAAAGCUCCGGCGGUUGUGGAUGGACUCGCGGCCUAUCAGCUUGUUGGUGGGGUAGUGGCCUACCAAGGCGGCGACGGGUAGCCGGCCUGAGAGGGUGACCGGCCACAUUGGGACUGAGAUACGGCCCAGACUCCGACGGGAGGCAGAAGGGGGGAAUAUUGCACAAUGGGCGCAAGCCUGAUGCAGCAACGCCGCGUGCGGGAUGACGGCCUUCGGGUUGUAAACCGCUUUCAGCAGGGACGAAGCUUUUUGUGACGGUACCUGCAGAAGAAGCACCGGCUAACUACGUG